CAAUAAGCGGAGGAAAAGAAACCAACAGGGAUUGCCCCAGUAACGGCGAGUGAAGCGGCAACAGCUCAGAUUUGGAAUCUGGCCUUCGGGGGCCCGAGUUGUAAUCUGGAGAGGAUGCUUCUGGCGCGGUGCCUUCCGAGUUCCCUGGAACGGGACGCCGGAGAGGGUGAGAGCCCCGUACGGUUGGACACCUAGCCUCUGGUGAAGCUCCUUCGACGAGUCGAGUAGUUUGGGAAUGCUGCUCAAAAUGGGAGGUAAAUUUCUUCUAAAGCUAAAUAUUGGCCAGAGACCGAUAGCGCACAAGUAGAGUGAUCGAAAGAUGAAAAGCACUUUGAAAAGAGAGUUAAAAAGUACGUGAAAUUGUUGAAAGGGAAGCGCCUGUGGCCAGACUUGCGCCGCGCGGACCACCCAGCGUUUCGCUGGUGCACUCCGCGUGGCGCAGGCCAGCAUCGGUUUUCCUAGGGGGAUAAAGGUCGCGGGAACGUAGCUCCUCCGGGAGUGUUAUAGCCCGUGGCGUCAUGCCCCUGGGGGGACCGAGG
RNAcentral lists this ribosomal RNA (539 nucleotides) under Grosmannia abietina. RNAcentral describes it as "partial large subunit ribosomal RNA". It matches the Rfam family "Eukaryotic large subunit ribosomal RNA", at positions 44 to 591 of the family's 3401-position model. Lineage: Eukaryota; Fungi; Ascomycota; Sordariomycetes; Ophiostomatales; Ophiostomataceae. The record is from RNAcentral.